UCAGGCCUAACACAUGCAAGUCGAACGGGAUCUUCGGAUCUAGUGGCGGACGGGUGAGUAACGUGUGGGAUCGUGCCCUUUGCUUCGGAAUAGCCCCGGGAAACUGGGAGUAAUACCGGAUGAGCCCUACGGGGGAAAGAUUUAUCGGCGAAGGAUCGGCCCGCGUUGGAUUAGGUAGUUGGUGGGGUAAUGGCCUACCAAGCUCGACGAUCCAUAGCUGGUUUGAGAGGAUGAUCAGCCACAUCUGGGACUGAGACACGGCCCAGACUCCUACGGGAGGCAGCAGUGGGGAAUCUUAAAGAAUGGGGGAAACCCUGAUCUAGCCAUGCCGCGUAUUAAAGGGAGGCCUUAGGGUUGUAAAGCUCUUCAGCUGGAAGAUAAUGAC
RNAcentral lists this ribosomal RNA (385 nucleotides) under uncultured bacterium. RNAcentral describes it as "bacterial SSU rRNA". It matches the Rfam family "Bacterial small subunit ribosomal RNA", at positions 42 to 455 of the family's 1533-position model. The record is from RNAcentral.